This 2203-nucleotide long non-coding RNA is filed under the name Homo sapiens (human). Its description in RNAcentral is "long intergenic non-protein coding RNA 1036". Lineage: Eukaryota; Metazoa; Chordata; Mammalia; Primates; Hominidae. The record is from RNAcentral.
GCGAUUCAAAAAGCCAGGUGGGAAGCCCUGUAGUAGGGACUCUGGCUUUGUCCCUGUUUCCCCCUUUUCUUCCUCUUCACCCACUAAAACCCUGUUUUACUCACGGUUCAAAUUGUUUGGCAGCCUGAAUUUUCAUGGCCAUGGGACAAAGAACCCCGUCUUUAGCUGAAUUAAGGAAAAGUUCUGCAACAUUUUUGACGUGCAACUUGGGGGCUCAAGCGGAGAAGCGAAGCAGAGCCCCUGGAAAACUCACAUAUGUGUCAACAAUAGUCCUUGAUGCCCCUGUAACAAAACUUGAGCAAGGCCUGGUGAUGAAGAGAUACAAGAUUGUCACCCAAGGAUUUGAUUAUACCUCUGUUGAAAGUUAAUGCACACUCAACCGAAUAUGGCAAUUGGUACUCUCAAUUCUAUAUUCUCAACAAUUACAGUGAAGAUACAAGUAGAAUACAAUCACUGCCACAUUUUUUGAAAUUCUGUGUAAACUGUAAUAUUCUGUCAACAUUAAUGACAUUUGAAGUGUCCUGUCAAAACAAUUGCAGCUACUUUAUGUAUAAAACAUAUUAAAUAGGCUCAUCCAACUUGCAUUCUUUAUUAAGCUUAUUUUCAUAUUUUUUCCUAUGGAUGAACUUAAAAAUAAUUUUGUUUCUUAAUUAAGAUUCUAUGCAUGAAGAUGCUGAAUAAUUUAAGACAAUUGUUCAUUCAAAUAGUUGCUAAUUACACCCUCCUGGCAUAGUUAUUGUAUUAUUACUACAUUUAGGAAUAAUAUGCUGUACUACUUGGACUUGAAAAUGUUUCUGACAUUUUAAUGAACACACUACUUAGUUAUAUUUUACAAGGGUUUUCAGUGAACCACAGAGGAUUAAAAAAUGUCAUUCAAGGGUUGUAGAUAAUUAAACUGACUGAAUAUAAGAAGCCUCAUAUGGAAGUGAAAAUUAUGUAUGAAUUUUGUUGAGCUGGAAAUGUGUUUUACUAAAUGACUUCAGAUUUGUUACUUUUAAAUACAAGAUGAAGGGAAUCAAGGGGAUACUUUCUUCUCACCUCAAUUUGUUCCAUUUGCAUAAGCUAUUUUAUCUUUCAAUAUCCCUUUUGAUAUUUCAUUUUGGCCCUUGAAUACACUAAAGAUUAUUUAAAAUAAAUAAAUGUUGACUUUGAAAUACUGCUAUAUAUAUUCAUUGCAAUACAUCAGGUGGGAAAUUGGUGCAAUUCAGUCACACACACAACCUCAUAGAUCAGAUUUCCAGUUAAGUUUUAAUAGAAAGAGAUUUUAGAUAGACAUGACUUUCAAUAAAAUGGAAGAAUUUUUAUUAGUUUCAAAAUAAUGAUUUUACUUGCUUAUCAACACAGUUGACCUUUCCCCACAGUACUAUGAUCUUCUUAGUACCUCUGCUAUAAUUAUAUUAAUGUCUUCCUAUAUCUAGAAAUUUGAUUAUUAUUCUAUUUUUAUGGAUCAUUAAAUUUUUCUAUUCAAGAAUGAUCCCUAUAGUCAACUUCCUGAGGGAUUUCUGCUUGCUAUUUUCUGUUUCAAUUGUGUGCAUUUCAUAUUUACUAUUAAAGAUUUUAAAUAAUGACACAUUGUUUAAGCGGUUGUAAGUCUGAUUGUUAUAAAGCUCUCUGGAGAAUUCUGUAAGCUUUCACAUCUGAUGGAGAACUUCAAUGAGAACAUCUUUAAUGUGGAAUUCUUGGACAAGAAACUACAGAUUAUCCAUGGUUCAGAAGAUAUGAUGAAUUAGUAACUAUUUUUCCGUACAUAAAAAGUCAAUCUUCCUAACCAGUUUGUUGUUUUAGCUAAAUGAAUCGGUCAAAUAUUUUAGUUAUAUUAGCAAUAUUUUGUCUCUAAAAUAUCUUGACAUAAAACUAUUACUAUGCAUAUAUUAUUAACCAUGAUCUUGUAUAGCUCUAUUUCAAGCGUAUUACUAACCAUAACGAAAAUAACUUUUAAUACUGAAAUACAUCAUCGAACUUCUAAGACUUUUUCUAUUUAAAAUUCCUAAGAUUUGUAAAAUUCUAUCAACGUAGUUACUUAAAGCAAAACAAGUUGCGUUAUAGUUUCUUAAAACAACAUUUUUUAUAUUGUACUUUUUAAAAACAACAUUUCCCAGCUACCACUUUUGGCAAGAAAUUGAGAGUUUAAACCUGUUGAAAGGAAUAUAAGAUGAGUGUAUGUGUCUCACAGUCAUAAUUAAAAUGUGUUUAUGAACAUGUA